GUUACUAUGGAUUUGACAUUUUCAUUUUAUCAGUCAUUAUCUACUUUCAAUUUUGUUUAACGACAUUUUCUGCACCUCCAGGAGAAAUGGCUAUAAACCGAACUGUCCAAUACACCUUGGGUUUAAUUACUGGGGUACUGGUUCCUUUAUGCAUAAGUUUGACUAUUUCUUACUUUCUCCCAUACCUAAGACCUGCUCCACCAACAUCAUUAAUAAAUCAGAUACUUAAAAAGGUGUACAUUUUUUAAUCACGAAAUUUUGACAUGUGUUGUCAGUCGGAUUCCUUCAAGACUUUUUUUGAAGGACACUUUUACAACUACUAUUUUUACCUAUUUUAUGGGUUUACUGAUUGUAUGAAUUUAUAAAUUCAAUAAAAAUAAUUAAAAACGUACAA
Aethina tumida (small hive beetle) is the source of this 394-nucleotide long non-coding RNA. RefSeq lists it as uncharacterized. The transcript has 3 exons. Lineage: Eukaryota; Metazoa; Arthropoda; Insecta; Coleoptera; Nitidulidae. The record is from RefSeq and is a predicted model, not a curated record.